Molecule: long non-coding RNA, 484 nt
Organism: Cyprinus carpio carpio
Lineage: Eukaryota; Metazoa; Chordata; Actinopteri; Cypriniformes; Cyprinidae
Source: Ensembl
CUGAAGUGCCUACCAUCCUCCAUCAUCUCCAAUUGAAGAUUACACACCUGUCUGGCAUGUGUGACCAGCCAGGGACUGAGGCAGAGCCGCGCGGAUGGCAGCCAGCUCUGCUCCACUGUCCCAGACCACUCUGAUGUCAGCUGGCUGUGAAAGGGAAAGGGCCUUGUACUGACCAGAGACUGUGAUAAAGCUUGAACUGGGAUGUGACCAGAGCUCUGGACCAACGCCACGCCGCCCUUGUCUGUGCAAGCCGCAACGCCAAGAUUCUCCAGCCCUGGAGAGACCGAGUUUGCAACGAAAAGGAGAGCAGAAACAUCUGGGUUUGUGAGAAAUAGAAACUUUUGGAACUGGUCUGCACAUUUCCUGUGUGAGGAGAUCGAACUUUUCCUCCCCUUUUUCAUGUCUUUUCCAUCGCUCUGCUGGGUUCUGCUGCUCUGCUUCAAGCAGGGGGGCAGUUGAGGGUAAACCUCUGCUGUUUGAGGAG